GUUGGGUGUGGUGGCGUGCGCCUGUAAUCCUAGCUACUGGGGAGACUGAGGCAGGAGAAUUGCUUGAACCCAGGAGGCAGAGGUUGUAGUGAGCCAAGAUCAUGCCAUUGCACUCCAGCCUGGGUGACAGAGCAAGACUUUGUCUCAA
This 148-nucleotide small RNA is filed under the name Macaca mulatta (Rhesus monkey). RNAcentral describes it as "Metazoan signal recognition particle RNA (ENSMMUG00000057224.1)". Lineage: Eukaryota; Metazoa; Chordata; Mammalia; Primates; Cercopithecidae. RNAcentral also lists the same sequence under 1 other name. The record is from Rfam by way of RNAcentral.